CGCAUUUCCAUAAUCUGGAAAUUGUGACAGAUAUUUUGAGGGAGAGGAGGCUGCCUUUCUUUUUUCCCUGAGAAAACACUAAAAUAGGUUUUCUGGUUUCACCAGGCCAAGGAGCUGAAUUAACAUCACGGAAGCCUGUAGGAUACAGAUCUCGCCAUUUCCACCCUCCCUGGUCCUCAUUGUCGACUUGCUCAUCCUCGUGUCCCCUGUCAUUCAUUCAGCAAAUAGGCUGGAGUGCUUGCUCUGUGCCAGGUGUCGUGCCAGGUGCCAUGGAUUCUGCAGUGCACGAAAUGGCCAAGUCCAUGCUCCUUGCCCAGUGGGGGAGAUAGAAAAAAACAACAGGCAAAUAAAGAAAGGAGCAUGCUCAUUCCGCGUUGUGGGAAGUCAGGAGGACAGCAAACAGAGUGAAAGAAGCCUCUUUAGAAAGAGAGUGCUACGUUCUCUAUCACAUCGCCGAGGCACGACUGAAAACAAGACCUUCUCGGAGCCCGCAGGAAUGCUUAUACCCGGGUGUGCCGGGCACGGGUUACCUGCGGAGAAAACGGCCGAGAUGGAGUGGGACGGACAGAGCCCAUGCUCGCCUGGAGGCGGGGGAGGCAGACAGUAAUCAGAUGACGGCUCAGACACCAUCACCAUGAGAGUUGUGAAGGGAGCACGCCGGGCAUCUUCCAGGAUCAAGGCAAAGCUGGAGGGGUUGUGAGCAAGGGGAGAGAGGCCCAAGCCAAGGUCAGUGAGGGGGCAGAAGCCAGAUCCUGUAGGGCCUGGCAGGCCAUAGGACUGCAUUUGGAUUUUAUUCUAAUGUAAUGAGAAGCUAAUGAGGGUUUUUGGCAAAGCCCAAUAUAUCUGGUUUAUGUUUUUUGGUGUGGUAUUUUUUUGCUGAGGACUGAGCUAACAUCUGUGCCAAACUUCCUCUUUUUUAUGUGGGAUGCUGCCACAGCUUGGAUUAAUGAGCGGUGUGUAGGUCCAUGCCCCGGAUCUGGGCCCGCAAACCCCAGGCCACUGAAGCAGAGAGUGUGGCCUUAACCAUUACGCGACCCAGCCAGCCUCUGAUUUAUGAUCUUUAAACAGCCUUUCGGCUGCUGUGUACUGUG
Molecule: long non-coding RNA, 1091 nt
Filed under: Equus caballus (horse)
Lineage: Eukaryota; Metazoa; Chordata; Mammalia; Perissodactyla; Equidae
Description: lncRNA (ENSECAG00000043688.2)
Source: RNAcentral